Long non-coding RNA from Epinephelus fuscoguttatus (brown-marbled grouper), 897 nucleotides. RefSeq lists it as uncharacterized. The record is from RefSeq and is a predicted model, not a curated record. NCBI's taxonomy places the organism in Eukaryota, Metazoa, Chordata, Actinopteri, Perciformes, Serranidae. The transcript has 3 exons.
ACCUGGCAACCCUGAAGAGACGGUUAGCAUGGAGGACAGCAGCUAACGCUCCAGCCUCUCACCCAAAUAUGGUCACUUCUGGCUCCAAAAAUCAAGAUGGCGACGGCUGUAAUGCAGAACUCGAGGCUUCAAAAUAGGUGUCCAGAAACCAGUGGGUGACAUCACAGUAGAAAAUGUUUUCUCAUAUACCCCUGGUGGUGUCUCGCCAUGCUGAUAAGGCCUUCUCUGAUACUUCUUCCACCACCACAGUGCAAUGGAGCUGAAUGGAAUUUAAUUUAUGGUGCUCAGCAUGGAAAAUAAAAUUCAAAGAACUGGGAAGCAACAUUUCUUUUAAAAAACAAUGUCCGAUUUGCUCUGGAUAAUCCCCAGUCCCUAUUUUCAAUGGUACCUUUUCUUUUGUAUGAAGGUACAUUUGUCAUAAAUCCACAGACCUAGCUGUGGAAGUAAAAAGAAGGAUUUGCACUUUAAGCUGCACAAACAACUGAAUGCUUCUGCUCAAAAGUUCAAAUCUGUGGGGAAACUUUCAGUGUGCAUCAUAUUUUUUUUUUUUUUUUUUUAAAUAUAUUUUAGGAGUUGAGCGCAUUAAGGUGAAUGGUUUGUGGCACUUAUGCUUUCAUACUUUAUGUUUGGUUCAGUUAAAACGCACUCAGGUCCGUUUGUGUGAAAGCUGUCAGUCAAACCCUGGUGCAGACAAACUGGACUCUGGUGAGGUUUGUUUCUGGUGUAAAAGAAAACGAACCAACCACAGGAUUUUUUGACAGCAGAUAUGUGAUUUGAUAACAGCUAAACCAAUAAUAGAUCCAUCUACUGAUAAUAAAAUCUAUCUGCGAUCUCAUAACUGAUCCUGAUAAAGGCAACAUAUAUCCCGUAACCUGUUUAUGCUAAUACAUACAUGUA